RNAcentral lists this unclassified non-coding RNA (3339 nucleotides) under Leishmania donovani. RNAcentral describes it as "gene:LdHU3.04.0910(CDS-product:Axonemal_dynein_li ght_chain_putative)". Lineage: Eukaryota; Euglenozoa; Kinetoplastea; Trypanosomatida; Trypanosomatidae. The record is from RNAcentral.
UGGAGGUACUGACCAAGUGAGCGUGAUAGAGAAAACUGCGCGCGUCGCACAGCAGCAGCGGAGAGCUUCGACAGGGCGAAGAAGCGUACCAAAGAAGAAGAGAGGCGUCUCCUCUCCUCGCGCUUGUUGGCCGUGUGUAGCACGUCUGUGCCUGUGUGUGUGUGUGUGUGUGUGUGUGUUUAGGGCCACGAAGGUUGCCUCUCCGGUUCCAGUCGAGGCCCGGGACACCUCAGAGGGAGGGUGCAACGGAACGCGCCAAGGCAACACAGGCCGCAAGACUACGAGCAUGAGGGCAGUCAAGUCGCGCAAUGCAGGGGGGCUUCGCUCUGUUAGAGACGUCGGCAGCAACCGUGAUGCCGCCGCGGCGGCGGUCCACGCGAAAGAGGCGGGAGCGGCAGCUACGCUAACGGUGGCGGUGCAUCACAGCGAUGCCUCCGGCACGCAUAGCGAAAAAGGCGCGCCGGACGACGCUACGCUGGAGGUGAGCGUAGGUACUACUGGCGAGAAGGACAAGUACCCCGAAGACCCCCUCGCCGUCGCGUUUGCGCUGGACGCACCGCUGACGUUCACCGCACGCGAUGACCCGAGAGUCGUUGCCCGGCUGCCACUUCGCUUCAAAGACGUGCUCCCUACUGUCUGCCACCAGCUUCAGUUCCGGCAGCGGCAGGCGACGCAUCAGACCUCUGUCGAUGCGGACAGCUACACCACCAAGAGCAACCCACUCUCGUCCCCUGUACCGCCGACGGCCGACGCCACCUCGUACGCACAGCCGCCGUACCAGCACGCGCACUUGUCGGACAUGGUCAUGCGGCUGCUGCCCGUCGCGGUGGGCCAGGGGCGCAGCUGCAAGACAGCCAUGAUGCAUCCGAGUGACAGCGAAGAAGACCCCACGGCCGCCGCCACCACCGUAGCCGCGGCCGCAGCACACGGGCCGGAGAACACCGAUAAGCACCUCCAUCAACAGCAGCUUGCAGCGUCAGCGAAGGCGAGGGCGGGCCAUGAGGCAGAGGAUGCUGUGCUGUGUGCGCCAGCGCGGGUGCCUGUGCUCGAAGACCAGCUGUACCGCACAUGGGCAGCGGAUCAGAUCCUAGACUAUCUCUUCUCCCCUACGUCGGCAGACGGCGCUGGCAGCGUUGACCGCGACGAGGCACGGCGCAGCUUCACCGUCGCCGCGUGCCUGAGCGGCAUGCGCGAAGUUCCUGCCGACACGGUCGAGUACGUCGAGCUGCUGCGUCGGAUGCUCUCUCUGGCGGACUCGCGGCGUGGUGCUGAGCCGAAUAAUGACGCGGACGACGCGGACGUAGAUUUGCCAGCGUACGUGCGCGAUGUGCUGGUGGGAGUGUUGCCGACGGAAAACGCACCUGCUGCUGCUGCUAACACAGCGUCCGCCGUCGAGCGGGUGCCGGUGGUGACGACGACGUUGCGCUCCACCUUGGAUGCAGUGCUGCCGCCGCGGCUCUUCCUCUACUACCUCAUCCACCAAGAGACGGCCGUGGCAGUGCAGCGGCAGCGCCAGGCCGCCCAGCAGCGCCAAGCACGCCUUCGUCGUCACCUGGAGACGCACCCGGACGACGUGAGCGUGCUGGAAGAGAUUGAGACCCUCCGUGAGGCGCUCGCUAGCGAGUAUACGGAAGUGCCAGUCGGUGCUGUCUUGGUCAUCCUCGAGCGGACGAGCGAUGUGCAGGCGCCGCGCGACUAUCUCGUGAAGCUGGAGCGGACACUAGACGAGGUACUGGAAAAGGUGAAGGCACGAUGCUGCGGUCGCCCGCUGCAGCUCAUCCGCACCAGCACCGCCCAUCCGUCAUGCUCACGACAGCAGCACACCGCAUCGGCACCGGCGGCCUCCGCGAAGGGGCGAGAAGGGGCCGCGGCCGCGGCCAUCCUCGCUACGCCAGACAAGUGGGUAUGCACGCACACACUGAAGCCGCUGCCAGUGCAACCGGUGGCCACGUCCGCUAGCGGUGGCGGCUCGGCUACCGUCGCCGCUACGCUGAAUGUGCUGGAGCUGAACAAGGAGCGGACGCUGGUGCAGCUAAGCCUCCUCGGUGAGGAGCUGCUCCGGCAGGUGACCGUCGAUCUUCCCGAGCGCGGUAUCCUUCUCCGACGCCUCCUCGACGAGGCGCAGCUCUCCAUCGACGCCCGCGCCAUCCUCGCCCGCGAACGCUGCAACGCCACGCAAGCGCACUUGCUGGACGGCCAAGACACGCGAGAAGCGACGGCAGCGCAGUGCAAAGUCCUCGAGAGCGAGGUAGCGGAGCUGCGGUCGCGGCUGGCGUCCGUGACCGCACGCAAGGCAGCGCUGGGAGCGUGGGUGGAGGAGCAGAAGGCGCGGGAGCUGACGGCGAGUCGCGAGCGAGCGCUCUUUGAACACAAUCUGCGAGAGCGGUUGGUGGCGCACACGGAGCGGGUAAAGGCGGCGCAGGAUGCCGAGCGUCGUAGCUCCUUGCCAGGGUGAUCCGCGUGAAAGGACGGAGAAGGGAGGGAGCAGGGAUCUACACGAAGCGCAGCUGUCAUGAUACAGUGUAUGGAUCGUCGCGCUGCAAGUGCGCACAAGUCCGUCGAAGUUGCUCGCUCGGUUCGUUCCCCCACCACCACCGCCACCGUCACACGCACUCCACCACCCACCCCUCUCCCUCUCCUUUCGUCGCUGUCAUGGUUGUGACUUCUAGUCUUCCGUCGAUGUACACCACUCAACGCUCGAGGUGCCGCCGCUCUCUCACCCAGCCAUCCAGUGCGUGUGUGCGAGUGUCGGCACGGCAUCCUCUUCCCUGCGUGCGUGCAUGCACGUGGGUGGGUGUCGAUAUGUGUGUGUGUGUGUGUGUGUGUGUGUGUGUGUGCUUGCUUGGAUGUCUCUGGUCGCGUUGGCAGUGGCUGUGGCGAGAACGCGGGAGUCAUGGCACGCGCUUCUCUUCAGAUUGGCCCAGAUCCAUCGCAGCCGCCACACACAUACACACGCGCGCAUGCGCCUUUAUGUAUAGUCUUUGACACGUACGCGCACGUCCCUCCUCUUCCCCUUCUUCUUGCUCACGCAGCCGCGAUCCUUAGUGGCUUACUUAGUGGUCGUCGUUGCCAUUUUCUGUGUGAACUCCGCCAUGUCGAAACGAACCCGACAAGACCUAGCACGCGACCACGCACGCUUCCCCGUCUGUGUCUGUGUCUGUGUCUGUGUGUGUGUGUGUGUGUAGGUGGGCGGGUGCCUUGCGCCGGCUGGUUAAGGGAUCGUAAGCUCUCCUUCUCGGCUUGAUGUGACCACCUCGCGCGUCACCUCCCCUCAUGCCCACCUUAUGCUGUUCCUCGCUGUGCUUUACCGGCGUUCUUUACUCGCUUCUCUCGCCUCAU